RNAcentral lists this ribosomal RNA (628 nucleotides) under Oceanobacillus kimchii. Its description in RNAcentral is "bacterial SSU rRNA". It matches the Rfam family "Bacterial small subunit ribosomal RNA", at positions 839 to 1467 of the family's 1533-position model. Lineage: Bacteria; Bacillati; Bacillota; Bacilli; Caryophanales; Bacillaceae. The record is from RNAcentral.
CUUAGUGCUGCAAGCUAACGCAUUAAGCACUCCGCCUGGGGAGUACGGCCGCAAGGCUGAAACUCAAAAGAAUUGACGGGGGCCCGCACAAGCGGAGGAGCAUGUGGUUUAAUUCGAAGCAACGCGAAGAACCUUACCAGGUCUUGACAUCCUCUGAACACUCUAGAGAUAGAAUUUUCCCUUCGGGGACAGAGUGACAGGUGGUGCAUGGUUGUCGUCAGCUCGUGUCGUGAGAUGUUGGGUUAAGUCCCGCAACGAGCGCAACCCUUGAUCUUAGUUGCCAGCAUUCAGUUGGGCACUCUAAGGUGACUGCCGGUGACAAACCGGAGGAAGGUGGGGACGACGUCAAAUCAUCAUGCCCCUUAUGACCUGGGCUACACACGUGCUACAAUGGAUGGAACAAAGGGAAGCGAACCCGCGAGGUCAAGCAAAUCCCACAAAACCAUUCUCAGUUCGGAUUGUAGGCUGCAACUCGCCUACAUGAAGCCGGAAUCGCUAGUAAUCGCGGAUCAGCAUGCCGCGGUGAAUACGUUCCCGGGCCUUGUACACACCGCCCGUCACACCACGAGAGUUGGUAACACCCGAAGUCGGUGAGGUAACCUUUUGGAACCAGCCGCCGAAGGUGGGA